This 497-nucleotide ribosomal RNA is filed under the name uncultured bacterium. Its description in RNAcentral is "partial 16S ribosomal RNA". It matches the Rfam family "Bacterial small subunit ribosomal RNA", at positions 28 to 507 of the family's 1533-position model. The record is from RNAcentral.
GAUGAACGCUGGCGGCGUGCCUAAUACAUGCAAGUCGAGCGAACGGACGAGAAGCUUGCUUCUCUGAUGUUAGCGGCGGACGGGUGAGUAACACAUGGAUCACCUACCUAUAAUACUGGGAUAACUUCGGGAAACCGGAGCUAAUACCGUAUAAUAUUUUGAACCGCAUGGUUCAAAAGUGAAAGACGGUCUUGCUGUCACUUAUAGAUGCAUCCGCGCUGCAUUAGCUAGUUGGUAAGUUAACGGCUUACCAAGGCAACGAUGCAUAGCCGACCUGAGAGGGUGAUCGGCCACACUGGAACUGAGACACGGUCCAGACUCCUACGGGAGGCAGCAGUAGGGAAUCUUACGCAAUGGGCGAAAGCCUGACGGAGCAACGCCGAGUGAGUGAUGAAGGUCUUCGGAGCGUAAAACUCUGUUAUUAGGGAAGAACAUAUGUGGAAGUAAAUGUGCACAGAGUGACGGUACCUAAUCAGAAAGCAACGGCUAACUACGUG